RNAcentral lists this non-coding RNA (30 nucleotides) under Mus musculus (house mouse). The record is from RNAcentral. Lineage: Eukaryota; Metazoa; Chordata; Mammalia; Rodentia; Muridae.
UACAAGUCAGAAGUGCUUGUGAGUUCCAGU